UACGUAGGGCGCAAGCGUUGUCCGGAAUGAUUGGGCGUAAAGAGCUCGUAGGCGGUCUGUCGCGUCGGAUGUGAAAGCCCGGGGCUUAACUCCGGGUCUGCAUUCGAUACGGGCAGACUAGAGUGUGGUAGGGGAGAUCGGAAUUCCUGGUGUAGCGGUGAAAUGCGCAGAUAUCAGGAGGAACACCGGUGGCGAAGGCGGAUCUCUGGGCCAUUACUGACGCUGAGGAGCGAAAGCGUGGGGAGCGAACAGG
RNAcentral lists this ribosomal RNA (253 nucleotides) under uncultured bacterium. RNAcentral describes it as "partial 16S ribosomal RNA". It matches the Rfam family "Bacterial small subunit ribosomal RNA", at positions 524 to 776 of the family's 1533-position model. The record is from RNAcentral.